Bombyx mori (domestic silkworm) is the source of this 831-nucleotide long non-coding RNA. RefSeq lists it as uncharacterized. The record is from RefSeq and is a predicted model, not a curated record. NCBI's taxonomy places the organism in Eukaryota, Metazoa, Arthropoda, Insecta, Lepidoptera, Bombycidae. The transcript is spliced from 2 exons.
GUUCUCGUUUUCAUAGUUAAGUCACCUUUUGUUGUGUACAGCACCGCGGUGUCUCAAUAUAAAGGUGCAUAAUUUGUUUUCUAUUUCUUGCCAAAUUUAGCGGUUAUUUUUUUUUAAAUUGAGGGCAAUUUCGAAAUUUAAAUGUGUUUUUAUUUUAGUUUCGACCUGGAGUUUUGAAAUAAUAUAUGGAAAGUAAAAUUUCACAAACAAUGAUAGGCAUACAGAUUAUAUAUAACAAUCAACCUAUUUGUAAAAUAUGCAUAGAUAAUACGGUAAUUUUUUUAUACUAUAUUUUUGUCGACCGAUGUUUUUUUUUAUUUUCUGCAUGUUAUCUACAUAUCUACUGAUAUGCUUUAAUAUUAUCAGUAAAAAAAUUUAAACAGCUUUCAUUUCCACUUGGUUCGACGAGCGAAACUAUCCCAUAGAUACAACCCACAGAGUUUCUCGCCGGAUCUUUUUCAGUGUGUCGCGAUUCUGAUCCAGUCGUAGAUUCGAAGGAGCACUGCCCUUGCUAGAGUUAGCGUUAGAAAAUUUUCUCAGGUUGAGCCCGUGAGCUCACCCACCAGUCGGAGGGUAGUUGAAAUUACCCUUACCAACGACUAGCGAAAUAGAGGAAGACAGCAACGUAGAUGGGAAGAUGACAUCAAAAAAGUGGCAGGAACGACUUGGAUGAGAAAAACGCAGGAUAGAAUAUUAUGGAGAACCCUUAGGGAGGCCUAUGCUGUACAGCAAGACGAUCAAGAAACCGGUGUCAAAUAAUAAAACUAGAUAAUAAGUGUAUUAAAAAUGUAACUUAAAUUAGAUUGUCAAUAAAGGCUUAUAUUAUUAUUA